Molecule: long non-coding RNA, 657 nt
Filed under: Trifolium pratense (red clover)
Lineage: Eukaryota; Viridiplantae; Streptophyta; Magnoliopsida; Fabales; Fabaceae
Description: long non-coding RNA (TPRA_LNC008463)
Source: RNAcentral
ACUACAACAAAACUGCUGAUUAGCUUCAAAUUAUUUAGCGUCUGCCCCGACACAGACGUUACUAGAGUCCGCUUUAAGUCUAACUGGUAGACGCUACUGGUUUUAUUUUUUAAAUCUUUAUUUUAAUUGAAUAAUUAUAAUUAGUGUCUGCUUUCAGAGACACUACUGAGACGCUAAGUAAAAAUAAAGAAAUCCCUCAUCUUAGAAUCUGCUGAGGCGGACUCUAGUCAUAAAUAAUAAAUUAAAUAAAAAUUAAAUUAUUUGUUAAGCGCCAAAAAAAUUUCACAAUUUUUCAUUUUCCCCUUUUUUUUUUUCUUUUCACUUUUUUUUAGGGCAAUUUCAUUCUUACUGAUAGAAUACGGAGUAUAUCAUUUAAUUUAUUAUAUGUCUUAAAAUAAUUUUCCUUUUUUUUCCCCAAAUCUCAAAGAACACAAACAAAACAUCUUCGCCGUUCCUGAACCUUAACCCUAUUCCGCGUUCAUUCCGUUGAAGAACAAUCACUUCGCCGUCCACUUACGCCGUUCACUUCCGCCAUCGAAGAAGCUCUCACAGUCAACAAGUUAGUUCCUUAACUCUUGUUCUUUUAAUUUUGAGUUAGUGCAUGUUUGGAUUCCCUUCUGUUUCCAUGUAUUCUGUAUUGUGACUCUUCUAAGUACC